GGGCCUGUGGUCUAGUGGCUUCAUCACUUGUGGUGCUAUAAAUGACAGCGCCUUUACACGGCGUUGAUCCCCGGUUCGAGUCCGGGCAGGCCCA
RNAcentral lists this transfer RNA (94 nucleotides) under Candidatus Woesearchaeota archaeon. RNAcentral's name for it is "tRNA-Val". It matches the Rfam family "tRNA". From Rfam's summary of the family: Transfer RNA (tRNA) molecules are approximately 80 nucleotides in length. Their secondary structure includes four short double-helical elements and three loops (D, anti-codon, and T loops). The record is from RNAcentral. Lineage: Archaea; Nanobdellati; Candidatus Woesearchaeota.